This 121-nucleotide non-coding RNA is filed under the name Enterococcus phoeniculicola ATCC BAA-412. RNAcentral describes it as "Enterococcus sRNA 68 (Lacto-3 RNA)". It matches the Rfam family "Enterococcus sRNA 68 (Lacto-3 RNA)". From Rfam's summary of the family: Name 'Ref' stands for RNA in E. faecalis. Lineage: Bacteria; Bacillati; Bacillota; Bacilli; Lactobacillales; Enterococcaceae. The record is from Rfam by way of RNAcentral.
UGCGACGGGUCGAGAUGGUUUCAUAUUCUAGUAAUAUGCAAACCAAAUUGAUUUAGCGGAGGCCGCGACGUGAGUCACCUACCGGAUGUAGGGGAGUCGGAUAAACACUUUUGUGGAGAAG